GACGAACGCUGGCGGCGUGCUUAACACAUGCAAGUCGAACGGAAAGGCCCUGCUCUUGUGGGGUGCUCGAGUGGCGAACGGGUGAGUAACACGUGAGUAACCUGCCCUUGACUUUGGGAUAACUUCAGGAAACUGGGGCUAAUACCGGAUAGGAGAUCCUGCUGCAUGGUGGGGGUUGGAAAGUUUCGGCGGUUGGGGAUGGACUCGCGGCUUAUCAGCUUGUUGGUGGGGUAGUGGCUUACCAAGGCUUUGACGGGGAGCCGACCGGAGAGGGUGACCGGCCACAUGGGGACUGGGACACGGCCCAAAGGCCGACGGGAGGCAGCCGUAGGGAAGCGUCGGAAAUGGACGAGAGUCUGACCGGGACACGCCGCGUGAGGGAAGAAGGGUUUCGGAUCGUAAAAAUCGGUUGGUAGAGAAGAAAGGUGGUGAGAGUGGAAAGCUCAUCAAGUGACGGUAACUACACAGAAAGGGACGGCUAACUACGUG
RNAcentral lists this ribosomal RNA (489 nucleotides) under uncultured bacterium. Its description in RNAcentral is "partial 16S ribosomal RNA". It matches the Rfam family "Bacterial small subunit ribosomal RNA", at positions 28 to 507 of the family's 1533-position model. The record is from RNAcentral.